GAUGAACGCUGGCGGCGUGCCUAAUACAUGCAAGUCGAGCGAACAGACGAGGAGCUUGCUCCUCUGACGUUAGCGGCGGACGGGUGAGUAACACGUGGAUAACCUACCUAUAAGACUGGGAUAACUUCGGGAAACCGGAGCUAAUACCGGAUAAUAUAUUGAACCGCAUGGUUCAAUAGUGAAAGACGGUUUUGCUGUCACUUAUAGAUGGAUCCGCGCCGCAUUAGCUAGUUUGUAAGGUAACGGCUUACCAAGGCAACGAUGCGUAGCCGACCUGAGAGGGUGGUCGGCCACACUGGAACUGAAACACGGUCCAGACUCCUACGGGAGGCAGCAGUAGGGAAUCUUCCGCAAGGGGCGAAAGCCUGACGGGGCAACGCCGCGUGAGUGAUGAAGGUCUUCGGAUCGUAAAACUCUGUUAUUAGGGAAGAACAAAUGUGUAAGUAACUAUGCACGUCUUGACGGUACCUAAUCAGAAAGCCACGGCUAACUACGUG
This 497-nucleotide ribosomal RNA is filed under the name uncultured bacterium. RNAcentral's name for it is "partial 16S ribosomal RNA". It matches the Rfam family "Bacterial small subunit ribosomal RNA", at positions 28 to 507 of the family's 1533-position model. The record is from RNAcentral.